Molecule: small nuclear RNA, 107 nt
Filed under: Echinops telfairi (small Madagascar hedgehog)
Lineage: Eukaryota; Metazoa; Chordata; Mammalia; Afrosoricida; Tenrecidae
Source: RNAcentral
GUGCUCGCUUCGGCAGCACCGAUACUAAAAUUGGAACGAUACAGAGAAGAUUGGCAUGGCGCCUGCACAAGGAUGACAUGCAAAUUUGUGAAGCAUUCCAUAUAUUU